This is a long non-coding RNA of Salmo salar (Atlantic salmon), 1084 nucleotides long. RefSeq lists it as uncharacterized. NCBI's taxonomy places the organism in Eukaryota, Metazoa, Chordata, Actinopteri, Salmoniformes, Salmonidae. The record is from RefSeq and is a predicted model, not a curated record.
GUGUCCUUAGGACCGAGUCUGGGAAACGCUGCCUUACACCAUAGAGAAAAAAGUUGGUAAUCUGGAUUAUUUCAUCACCCCACCGGAGCACAGAAGAAGAAAAAACAGCUGUGCCAUGUCAACAUGUUAAAGUCAUACUUUUCCCGUUGCGAUCAGUCAGAGAGGUCGGUGGAAACAGGUAGUGAUCAUCUGGCUGUGGCCACUGCAGUCACUAUUGUCUUCCUUGAGAGGAAAGCCCAAUACGCCCUGUAUCAAGCAUACUCCAUACAAAGCCAACCAUGUCUCAAGACAAGAGUCAUGUCAACAACUGUCAACCAUUCCCUGCCAUAUAUCAUCCCCAUUACCUGAAUCUAUAAAGACUCUUAAACUGGAGUCCCACAGUAGAUGGGCAUCCCCAUAACCCUCACCUAAACCUCACUCAGUUACAAUCUAGUAAAUUAAUAAUAUUGUGACAGGCUAGGAACCAAAGUUUUGGUCAGUGUCUCCCCGGGAACAUGCAGUUGAGGACAGGCAGGUGAGAGCGUUGUACUUGGAAGGUUGUAUGACACUGUUGAUAUUGGUUUAGUUCUGUGAGCAACCAUUUUGUGACCAUACCUUCUGGAAGAAAUGUUUGGGGUUUGGUCGAUUGUUCUGAAUGGUAUGUGUUGAGUUUAAACAUAGGUGAGUUUAUUCAUGUGACAAUAUUCAAGAUGUCCUUUUUUUUCUCAAUUGGUUUGAGGUCCAGGCAGUUUAUUGGCAGUGCUCUGUAAUAAGGUGACUAUCUUUAAGUAAAGUAAUUUGUGUUUCUAAAAUCAAUUCAUGUAAAUGCUGUGGUUAACUGUGUUCUUUUCUACCAUCAGAAGUACAGCACUGUCACCGUUUUAGGUCCUCUUGUGAACUUGGUCAGCUGAAUCUCUGUAUCUACUGGAAGUAACAGAUCUAAGAAGUAAUUUUGGUGUACUCUUGUUUGUGUCAAACGAGCAAACCUAAUUCUCUAAGCUUGGUUAAACGUUGCUGAUGUAUCUGAACGGUUUCCCUUUUAAUGUGCCUAGAACCUGUAAAGUUUAAUGUUACAAUUCUAAUAAAACGUUUAUAUUUUUGCUAA